UCCCUAGUGGUCUAGUGGUUAGGAUUCAGUGCUCUCACUGCUGUGGCCCAGGUUCAAUUCCUGAUUAGGGAA
This is a non-coding RNA of Nannospalax galili (Upper Galilee mountains blind mole rat), 72 nucleotides long. The record is from the annotation of a RefSeq genome assembly. NCBI's taxonomy places the organism in Eukaryota, Metazoa, Chordata, Mammalia, Rodentia, Spalacidae.